RNAcentral lists this unclassified non-coding RNA (3356 nucleotides) under Leguminivora glycinivorella. RNAcentral's name for it is "dynamin, transcript variant X2". Lineage: Eukaryota; Metazoa; Arthropoda; Insecta; Lepidoptera; Tortricidae. The record is from RNAcentral.
AUGCCGCUACGCAGCGCAUUGUUCGUGCACCGACACCGAUGUCUGUCGAAACAUCAGUUUGUGUUCCAGCUAUUGUAUACUGAACACUGUGCCACUUUAUGACAGCUCAAUCACCAAUGACGUACUUUGAUACAAACAUAGGCUACGCGUUCAUUGGUAACACAUCUGUCAUUUGAGCACUGUGCUCCAUUCACAGUCGAGGUUAAAAUACUUCUAACAACGUAACCACCCACCAUAUUGAAAAAGUAGUUUAUCGGUGAAUGAUGAUCAAGACGUUAAAGUAGUGAAUUCGGAUCUUAAAGUUUAAUGUAUUUACAACAAAAUGUCGGGGAAUUUCGGAAUGCAGCAGUUAAUCCCCAUUGUAAACAAACUACAAGAUGCAUUUGUGCAAAUGGGCGUGCACAUGUCUUUAGAUCUCCCACAAAUUGCAGUUGUGGGUGGCCAGUCCGCUGGAAAGAGUUCAGUGUUAGAAAACUUCGUCGGCAGGGAUUUUCUGCCCCGUGGCUCCGGUAUUGUGACUCGUCGCCCUUUGAUUCUACAGCUCAUACAUGGAAACGCAGAAUAUGCGGAGUUCCUCCACUGCAAGGGCAGAAAGUUCGUGGACUUCAAUGAGGUGCGAGGGGAGAUCGAGGCGGAGACGGACCGCAUCACGGGCUCCAACAAGGGCAUUUCGCCCGUGCCUAUCAACCUCCGCGUCUACUCGCCCAACGUACUUAACCUGACGCUGAUCGACUUGCCCGGCCUGACGAAGGUUCCCAUUGGCGACCAGCCGGUCGACAUCGAAGCCCAGAUCAAGGGCAUGAUCUUCCAGUUCAUCCGGCGGGAGUCGUGCUUGAUCCUCGCCGUCACUCCGGCCAACACCGAUCUGGCGAACAGCGAUGCUCUCAAACUUGCCAAAGAAGUUGACCCGCAAGGUCUGCGCACGAUCGGCGUGAUCACCAAGCUGGAUCUGAUGGACGAAGGCACCGACGCGCGUGACGUACUCGAGAACAAGCUGCUGCCGCUACGUCGCGGCUACAUCGGCGUCGUCAACCGCUCGCAGAAAGACAUCGACGGCCGCAAGGACAUCGCCGCCGCGCUCGCUGCUGAGAGGAAGUUCUUCCUCAGCCACCCUUCAUACCGGCACAUCGCGGACCGGCUCGGGACCCCGUACCUGCAGCGCGUGCUCAACCAGCAGCUCACCAACCACAUCCGCGACACCCUUCCCGGCCUGCGCGACAAGCUGCAGAAGCAGCUGCUCACGCUGGAGAAGGAUGUCGACCAGUACAAGCACUUCCGCCCCGACGACCCCUCCAUCAAGACCAAGGCCAUGCUGCAAAUGAUUCAAACACUGCAAACCGACUUCGAGCGCACCAUCGAAGGUUCUGGCUCCGCGCAGAUCAACACCAAUGAGCUGUCGGGCGGUGCCAAGAUCAACCGGCUCUUCCACGAGCGGUUCCCCUUCGAGAUCGUCAAGAUGGAGUUCGAUGAAAAGGAGCUUCGACGCGAGAUCGCCUUCGCUAUCAGGAAUAUCCACGGUAUUAGGGUUGGUUUGUUCACGCCCGACAUGGCGUUUGAGGCCAUCGUGAAGAAACAGAUCGGGCGGCUGAAGGAGCCGUGCCUCAAAUGUGUGGACCUCGUCGUGCAGGAGCUCUCCAACGUCGUUCGCAUUUGUACUGAAAGGAUGUCUCGUUACCCGCGCCUGCGCGAGGAGACGGAGCGCAUCAUCAUGUCGCACGUGCGCUCGCGCGAGAACCAGUGCAAGGACCAGCUCGUGCUGCUCAUCGACUGCGAGCUCGCCUACAUGAACACCAACCACGAGGACUUCAUCGGAUUCGCCAAUGCUCAGAACCAAUCGGAGAACUCGGCCAAGUCGGGGCACCGCGCGCUCGGUAACCAGGUUAUCAGGAAAGGUUACAUGUGCAUACACAACCUGGGCAUCAUGAAAGGAGGUUCCCGCGAUUACUGGUUCGUGCUCACAUCGGAGAGCAUCUCGUGGUACAAGGACGAGGAGGAGCGCGAGAAGAAGUACAUGCUGCCGCUGGACGGGCUGAAGCUGCGCGACCUGGAGCAAGGGUUCAUGUCGCGUCGGCACAUGUUCGCGCUCUUCAACCCUGAGGGCAGGAAUGUCUACAAGGAUUACAAGCAGCUGGAGUUGUCGUGCGAGACCCAGGACGACGUGGACUCGUGGAAGGCGUCCUUCCUGCGUGCCGGAGUCUACCCUGAGAAGACCUCCGAGGCAGCCAACGGUGAAGAGUUAUUUCCUUUCUCUGGUUUGUCGGGGGGUCGGAAAAGCUCAGAUACCGGCGGCUCGAGCAGCAUGGACCCGCAGCUGGAGCGGCAGGUGGAGACCAUUCGCAACCUGGUAGACUCGUACAUGCGCAUCGUGACCAAGACCACGCGCGACCUGGUGCCCAAGACGAUCAUGAUGAUGAUCAUCAACAACGCCAAAGAUUUCAUCAACGGGGAGCUGCUGGCGCAUCUGUACGCGUCCGGUGAUCAGUCGCAAAUGAUGGAAGAAUCCCCGGAGGAAGCGCUGAAGCGCGAGGAGAUGCUCCGCAUGUACCACGCGUGCAAGGAAGCGUUGCACAUCAUCGGCGACGUUUCCAUGGCGACCGUCAGCACGCCCGUGCCGCCGCCCGUUAAGAACGACUGGCUCGAGAGCCGGCUCGACUCCAACCCGCGCCUGUCGCCGCCCUCGCCUGGAGGACCGAGGCGCGCUGCGCCCGCUCAGCAAGGUUCAAUGGGACAACGUGGUGCUCCGCCCCCACCCGGCGCAGGCACCGGCCGGCCGGCGCCCCCGCUGCCGUCGCGGCCCGGCGGCGCGGCGCCCCCGCCCCCCGGCGGCCGCCCGCAGCCCGGUGGAGGCCUGCCUGCCCCGCUCAUACCGACGCGGCGCUAAGCGAGCCAGCCCGUCGUCUGCCCACUAACUAACUAACUUAAGUUACGUACGAACCUAAAGCCGACCUGUCCCGAACGUGCCGCCGAAGUUGCCCGAGCGACCACAGAACGGGCGACCAUUUUGAACUCUUUCGCCGCCAUCUUGUGAUACGCAGCAUUGUAAAUAUAUAAUAUCCUAUUUCUCUGUAUAUUGCUUUAAUUCUAUUUAUUUAAGCGUUAUUACGUUGCGGUCUGUAAGUUAUAAAUAAAUGUAGCAUAGUUUAGGAUCGUUGAAUUGAAAUUAGUAUUACCUAUAUGAAAGUCAGAAGGUGUGAUUGUGUCUUAUAAAUUUGCGAGUAUGUGAUAAGAUGUUACUGAAUCCUUUAUUAUAUAUUAUGAAUUUAACGUGGUGUAAUCAACGGAGAAUACUUAAACGUUGCAAGCAAGACUAAUUGAAGAGCGAUGUCUUAUGAAUAUAAUCAAUAUUUUAUAUGUGA